GGUUGGUUUUCCAUGUAAUAUAUCAAGGUCAUCCCAGCAAACAUGUCCUGCCUAACAAAUAAUAAAUAAAACAAUGAUUUGUAAAGAGAUAACGUAAAACCAUAGGGAAAAGAACAUCGAAACGUCAAUGUGCGUAUUGGAAAAAACCACUAAAAGAUGAAAUACUAAAAGCAGAAAAAAAUACCCGUCCUGAUAAUACCGAUACCAGUAACAAUAUUGUUCGGUUGGAGUGGGUUUGGUUCGUCACAUUAGCAAGAAAAAUACUAAAAGGCAAAAUACUAAACGAAAUAAAAGUAGAGGGGCUAAACAUGUAUUUUAGCAAGUUAAAGUAGAGGGACUAAACAUGUAUAUAAGAAAAGUUAAAGUAGAAUGACUAAACACGUAAGUUAGCAAAGUGAAGGGUUAAAGGCGUAAGUUUCUUGACGCCAACCACAAGGCGCCACGUGGCUAUGUUAGAUUGGCCCACCGACUUAGCCUUUUAAGUGUAUAUAUAUAUAUAAUUUUCUUACCUCAAUGUUGGAUAGAAGAUCUGCAUGUGAUAAACCAAGAUACUUGGAACAAGCGCCGGGAUUGCAAAAGCAUCCUGUUACCCGUAGCUGA
This 600-nucleotide long non-coding RNA is filed under the name Helianthus annuus (common sunflower). RNAcentral's name for it is "sRNA HanXRQr2_Chr11g0483321". Lineage: Eukaryota; Viridiplantae; Streptophyta; Magnoliopsida; Asterales; Asteraceae. The record is from RNAcentral.